GGACCAUAGCUCAGUGGAGGAGCAUCUGCUUUGCAUGUAGAAGGUUUUGGGUUCAACCCCUGGCAUCUCCA
Podarcis lilfordi (Lilford's wall lizard) is the source of this 71-nucleotide non-coding RNA. The record is from the annotation of a GenBank genome assembly. Lineage: Eukaryota; Metazoa; Chordata; Lepidosauria; Squamata; Lacertidae.